Molecule: long non-coding RNA, 268 nt
Organism: Callorhinchus milii (elephant shark)
Lineage: Eukaryota; Metazoa; Chordata; Chondrichthyes; Chimaeriformes; Callorhinchidae
Exons: 3
Source: RefSeq, a predicted model, not a curated record
GGUUUAUGGUAAUGAAGCACAGUCUGGCACUCAGCUGGCCACAUAUUCCUUUGAGGUUUGUGACAGCAUAUUGAAUAUCGGUCCUUGUGUAAAUGCUUCAAUGGGAGAACCUGCUUUCCUCUCUGAGGAGUUCCAGAAUAAUCCGGAGCCAGACCUGGAGAUUGUUGUGUGUUCAGGAUACGGAAAGAAUGGUGCACUAUCUGUCCUACAGGUAAUGGUUCGAACCUCUGCAGCCCUUCGGGUUCCCAUUGAACACAAUAGAAAUUAA